This 887-nucleotide ribosomal RNA is filed under the name Lactifluus cf. volemus I KH-2011. RNAcentral's name for it is "LSU rRNA". It matches the Rfam family "Eukaryotic large subunit ribosomal RNA", at positions 72 to 935 of the family's 3401-position model. Lineage: Eukaryota; Fungi; Basidiomycota; Agaricomycetes; Russulales; Russulaceae. The record is from RNAcentral.
GGAUUCCCCUAGUAACUGCGAGUGAAGCGGGAAAAGCUCAAAUUUAAAAUCUAAUGGUCCUUGGCCAUUCGAGUUGUAAUUUAGAGAAGCGUCUUCCGCGCCAGACCAUGUACAAGUCUCCUGGAACGGAGCGUCAUAGAGGGUGAGAAUCCCGUCUUUGACAUGGACCCUUGGUGCUUCUGUGAUGCGCUCUCAAAGAGUCGAGUUGUUUGGGAAUGCAGCUCAAAAUGGGUGGUGAACUCCAUCUAAGGCUAAAUAUUGGCGAGAGACCGAUAGCGAACAAGUACCGUGAGGGAAAGAUGAAAAGCACUUUGGAAAGAGAGUGAAACAGUACGUGAAAUUGUUGAAAGGGAAACACUUGAAGUCAGUCGCGUCGAUCGAGACUCAGCCUUGCCUYGGCUUGGCGUACUUCUCGACUUGACGGGCCAGCAUCAAUUUCRUCCCUCGGAUAAUGGCAGGGGAAAGGUGGCACCUUCACSGGUGUGUUAUAGUCUCUUGUCGCAURCGAGGGGUGGGAUUGAGGAACUCAGCACGCACCUCACGGUGUCGGGGCUUCGGCCCACGUUACGUGCUCAGGAUGCCGGCGUAAUGGCUUUAAAUGACCCGUCUUGAAACACGGACCAAGGAGUCUAACAUGCCUGCGAGUGUUCGGGUGGAAAACCCGUGUGCGUAAUGAAAGUAAAAGUUGGGACCUCUGUCGUGGAGGGCACCGACGCCCGGACCAGACCUUCUGUGACGGAUCUGCGGUAGAGCAUGCAUGUUGGGACCCGAAAGAUGGUGAACUAUGCCUGAAUAGGGUGAAGCCAGAGGAAACUCUGGUGGAGGCUCGUAGCGAUUCUGACGUGCAAAUCGAUCGUCAAAUUUGGGUAUAGGGGCGAAAGACUAAU